AUUGAACGCUGGCGGCAGGCCUAACACAUGCAAGUCGAACGAGUGGCGGACGGGUGAGUAAUGUCUGGGAAACUGCCUGAUGGUGGGGGAUAACUACUGGAAACGGUAGCUAAUACCGCAUACCAUCAAAUGUGCCCAGAUGGGAUUAUCUAGUUGGUGGGGUAACGGCUCACCAAGGCGAGGGUCCCUAGCUGGUAUGAGAGGAUGACCAGCGACACGGGAAGUGAGAAACGGCACAGAGUCCUAGGGGAGGCAGCAGUGGGGAAUAUGGGAAAAUGGGCGCAAGCCUGAUGCAGCCAUGCCGCGUGGAUGAAGAAGGCCUUCGGGUUGUAAAGGACUUUCGGCGGUGAGGCGUUACCCGCAGAAGAAGAACCGGCUAACUCCGGGCCAGCAGCCGCGUAAUAC
Molecule: ribosomal RNA, 405 nt
Filed under: uncultured bacterium
Lineage: Bacteria
Description: partial 16S ribosomal RNA
Rfam family: Bacterial small subunit ribosomal RNA
Source: RNAcentral